CACGUAGGGUGCGAGCGUUGUCCGGAAUUAUUGGGCGUAAAGAGCUCGUAGGCGGUGUGUCGCGUCGGCCGUGAAAACCUGCAGCUUAACUGUGGGCGUGCGGUCGAUACGGGCAUCACUGGAGUUCGGCAGGGGAGACUGGAAUUCCUGGUGUAGCGGUGAAAUGCGCAGAUAUCUGGAGGAACACCGGUGGCGAAGGCGGCAUCCUGGACCAAUACUGACACUGAAAAGCGAAAGCCAGGGGAGCAAACGGG
RNAcentral lists this ribosomal RNA (254 nucleotides) under uncultured bacterium. RNAcentral describes it as "partial 16S ribosomal RNA". It matches the Rfam family "Bacterial small subunit ribosomal RNA", at positions 524 to 776 of the family's 1533-position model. The record is from RNAcentral.